Molecule: transfer RNA, 73 nt
Organism: Ovis aries (sheep)
Lineage: Eukaryota; Metazoa; Chordata; Mammalia; Artiodactyla; Bovidae
Rfam family: tRNA
About the family: Transfer RNA (tRNA) molecules are approximately 80 nucleotides in length. Their secondary structure includes four short double-helical elements and three loops (D, anti-codon, and T loops). Further hydrogen bonds mediate the characteristic L-shaped molecular structure. tRNAs have two regions of fundamental functional importance: the anti-codon, which is responsible for specific mRNA codon recognition, and the 3' end, to which the tRNAs corresponding amino acid is attached (by aminoacyl-tRNA synthetases). tRNAs cope with the degeneracy of the genetic code in two manners: having more than one tRNA (with a specific anti-codon) for a particular amino acid; and 'wobble' base-pairing, i.e. permitting non-standard base-pairing at the 3rd anti-codon position.
Source: Rfam
UCCCUGAUGGUCCAGUGGCUAAGACUCUGUGCUCCCAAUGCAAGGGGCCCGGGUUCAAUCCUUGGUCAGGGAA